GUUUUAUUUUUUAUUUUGAUGGCAAAGUUUAAAAAACUAAGUCUGUUUUAUUUUUUCCAAGGCUUUUUCUCUUCCCAAGUUCCCUACCUCUGCAUCCUUCAUUGGAAAAAAAAAUGGAAGCUUCUACUUUUGGAGGUCCUUCUAGAUCUGAUGAAGCUCUACUUUUGUAUAUGUUUGUUUGGUGAAAUUUUCUGGGUUUUUCUCAGUGAUGAUAGACGGGCAGAGGCUGCUAGGAUCCGACAGAAAUACCAAGAUAGAAUUCCAUUCCUCUUGGUGUUGCUGUCUUCUUCUCAAAUCUGUGGCGGUUGUUGCCGUUUGCCGAGUUUUGUUUGUUUGUUGCAUUUCAUAGAUUUGGGUAUAAUUAAGUGUUUGUUGUUGUAUUUCAUAGAAUAAUUGUUUGGUUCUUGUAAA
Prunus avium (sweet cherry) is the source of this 411-nucleotide long non-coding RNA. RefSeq lists it as uncharacterized. Lineage: Eukaryota; Viridiplantae; Streptophyta; Magnoliopsida; Rosales; Rosaceae. The record is from RefSeq and is a predicted model, not a curated record.